Long non-coding RNA from Scomber japonicus (chub mackerel), 257 nucleotides. RefSeq lists it as uncharacterized. The transcript is spliced from 3 exons. NCBI's taxonomy places the organism in Eukaryota, Metazoa, Chordata, Actinopteri, Scombriformes, Scombridae. The record is from RefSeq and is a predicted model, not a curated record.
AUUCCUAAGAAUUACAACGGUACCGCUACAACCACGAUUCUUGGCUGGUUUGGAUAAGCAGAGCAGUCAGCUUCUUCAGGUCAUGAGGAAAAAAGGUGGAGCUGUCGGUCAGAAAAUCAGGGACACCCUUAAACCUUUGGAUCAGGGUGUGGACUUGAACAGAGUGCCUCCUGAAGUCGCUCGUGAUUUACCUGGGUGAAGAUGUGAGCCACCUGAUCAAAGAGUACCUGGUUGUCCAACAGGAAGAGGCGGAGGAA